This 580-nucleotide long non-coding RNA is filed under the name Mytilus galloprovincialis (Mediterranean mussel). Lineage: Eukaryota; Metazoa; Mollusca; Bivalvia; Mytilida; Mytilidae. The record is from RNAcentral.
AAUGCAAUGUUCAAGCCUGGUGCUUCAAAUUUCAUUUCAUUUCAAAAAUCAUUUCUCUAUUUUCAUUUAUUAGAUUUAUAUUAUACUUCAACUGUAACUAACUAGAAAAAUGUUGAAGGAUUAACAUAAAUUCUUUCAUAGACAUACCAUCGCCAAUAUAAUGCCCCUCUGAAAAUUAAAUACCAGUCACUAGUCUGUCAACACUGAGGUUGUGAGUUGAUAUCUGCAUUCAACUUCUAUCUUAUUUGGCUAGGAUUGCAGAAGGUUAGUGGUUCUUACAGGCACACUGACUUCCUCCACCGAUAAAAACUGACCGCCACAGAAGGUUAGUGGUUCUCACAGGCACACUGACUUCCUCCACCGAUAAAAACUGACCGCCACAGAAGGUUAGUGGUUCUUACAGGCACACUGACUUCCUCCACUGAUAAAAACUGACCGCCACAGAAGGUUAGUGGUUCUCACAGGCACACUGACUUCCUCCACCGAUAAAAACUGACCGCCACAAAAUAGCCAACAGUGCUGAAAGUGGCAAAUUGAAAAAAAAACUUUUAAUUAUGAAAUUUUAAUAGACAAAGAAAAG